This 43-nucleotide non-coding RNA is filed under the name Schistosoma margrebowiei. The record is from RNAcentral. Lineage: Eukaryota; Metazoa; Platyhelminthes; Trematoda; Strigeidida; Schistosomatidae.
AUCUACCUAAUGAGUCCCAUAAGACGAAACGCGCGUCGCGGAU